AUGUGGGGGCUAUAUACAGGGGGUACUGGUACAGAGUCAAUGUGGGGGCUAUAUACAGGGGGUACCGGUACAGAGUCAAUGUGGAGGCUAUAUACAGGGGGUACUGGUACAGAGUCAAUGUGGAGGCUAUAUACAGGGGGUACCGGUACAGAGUCAAUGUGGGGGCUAUAUACAGGGGGUACUGGUACAGAGUCAAUGUGGGGGCUAUAUACAGGGGGUACCGGUACAGAGUCAAUGUGGAGGCUAUAUACAGGGGGUACUGGUUCAGAGUCAAUGUGGAGGCUAUAUACAGGGGGUACUGGUACAGAGUCAAUGUGGAGGCUAUAUACAGGGGGUACCGGUUCAGAGUCAAUGUGGAGGCUAUAUACAGGGGGUACCGGUACAGAGUCAAUGUGGAGGCUAUAUACAGGGGGUACUGGUACAGAGUCAAUGUGGAGGCUUUAUACAGGGGUACUGGUACAGAGUCAAUGUGGAGAUUAUAUACAGGAGGUACCGGUACAGAGUCAAUGUGGAGGCUAUAUACAGGAGGUACUGGUACAGAGUCAAUGUGGGGGCUAUAUACAGGGGGUACCGGUACAGAGUCAAUGUGGGGGCUAUAUACAGGGGGUACUGGUACAGAGUCAAUGUGGAGGCUAUAUACAGGGGGUACAAGGUACAGAGUCAAUGUGGAGGCUAUAUACAGGGGGUACCGGUACAGAGUCAAUGUGGAGGCUAUAUACAGGGGGUACCGGUUCAGAGUCAAUGUGGGGGCUAUAUACAGGGGGUACUGGUACAGAGUCAAUGUGGGGGCUAUAUACAGGGGGUACCGGUACAGAGUCAAUGUGGGGGCUAUAUACAGGGGGUACCGGUUCAGAGUCAAUGUGGAGGCUAUAUACAGGGGGUACAAGGUACAGAGUCAAUGUGGAGGCUAUAUACAGGGGGUACCGGUACAGAGUCAAUGUGGAGGCUAUAUACAGGGGGUACCGGUACAGAGUCAAUGUGGGGGCUAUAUACAGGAGGUACCGGUUCAGAGUCAAUGUGGAGGCUAUAUACAGGGGGUACCGGUUCAGAGUCAAUGUGGAGGCUAUAUACAGGGGGUACAAGGUACAGAGUCAAUGUGGAGGCUAUAUACAGGGGGUACCGGUACAGAGUCAAUGUGGAGGCUAUAUACAGGGGGUACCGGUUCAGAGUCAAUGUGGGGGCUAUAUACAGGGGGUACUGGUACAGAGUCAAUGUGGGGGCUAUAUACAGGGGGUACCGGUACAGAGUCAAUGUGGGGGCUAUAUACAGGGGGUACUGGUUCAGAGUCAAUGUGGAGGCUAUAUACAGGGGGUACUGGUUCAGAGUCAAUGUGGAGGCUAUAUACAGGGGGUACCGGUUCAGAGUCAAUGUGGAGGCUAUAUACAGGGGGUACCGGUACAGAGUCAAUGUGGAGGCUAUAUACAGGGGGUACCGGUACAGAGUCAAUGUGGAGGCUUUAUACAGGGGGUACUGGUACAGAGUCAAUGUGGAGGCUAUAUACAGGGGGUACUGGUUCAGAGUCAAUGUGGAGGCUAUAUACAGGGGGUACCGGUACAGAGUCAAUGUGGAGGCUAUAUACAGGGGGUACUGGUACAGAGUCAAUGUGGGGGCUAUAUACAGGGGGUACUGGUACAGAGUCAAUGUGGAGGCUAUAUACAGGGGGUACCGGUACAGAGUCAAUGUGGGGGCUAUAUACAGGGGGUACUGGUACAGAGUCAAUGUGGAGGCUAUAUACAGGGGGUACUGGUUCAGAGUCAAUGUGGAGGCUAUAUACAGGGGGUACUGGUACAGAGUCAAUGUGCAGGCUAUAUACAGGGGGUACUGGUACAGAGUCAAUGUGGAGGCUAUAUACAGGGGGUACUGGUACAGAGUCAAUGUGGGGGCUAUAUACAGGGGGUACAAGGUACAGAGUCAAUGUGGAGGCUAUAUACAGGGGGUACCGGUACAGAGUCAAUGUGGAGGCUAUAUACAGGGGGUACCGGUUCAGAGUCAAUGUGGGGGCUAUAUACAGGGGGUACUGGUACAGAGUCAAUGUGGGGGCUAUAUACAGGGGGUACCGGUACAGAGUCAAUGUGGGGGCUAUAUACAGGGGGUACUGGUACAGAGUCAAUGUGGAGGCUAUAUACAGGGGGUACCGGUUCAGAGUCAAUGUGGAGGCUAUAUACAGGGGGUACCGGUACAGAGUCAAUGUGGGGGCUAUAUACAGGAGGUACCGGUUCAGAGUCAAUGUGGAGGCUAUAUACAGGGGGUACCGGUUCAGAGUCAAUGUGGAGGCUAUAUACAGGGGGUACAAGGUACAGAGUCAAUGUGGAGGCUAUAUACAGGGGGUACCGGUACAGAGUCAAUGUGGAGGCUAUAUACAGGGGGUACCGGUUCAGAGUCAAUGUGGAGGCUAUAUACAGGGGGUACCGGUUCAGAGUCAAUGUGGGGGCUAUAUACAGGGGGUACUGGUACAGAGUCAAUGUGGGGGCUAUAUACAGGGGGUACCGGUACAGAGUCAAUGUGGGGGCUAUAUACAGGGGGUACUGGUACAGAGUCAAUGUGGAGGCUAUAUACAGGGGGUACUGGUUCAGAGUCAAUGUGGAGGCUAUAUACAGGGGGUACCGGUUCAGAGUCAAUGUGGAGGCUAUAUACAGGGGGUACCGGUACAGAGUCAAUGUGGAGGCUAUAUACAGGGGGUACCGGUACAGAGUCAAUGUGGAGGCUUUAUACAGGGGGUACUGGUACAGAGUCAAUGUGGAGGCUAUAUACAGGGGGUACUGGUUCAGAGUCAAUGUGGAGGCUAUAUACAGGGGGUACCGGUACAGAGUCAAUGUGGAGGCUAUAUACAGGGGGAACUGGUACAGAGUCAAUGUGGGGGCUAUAUACAGGGGGUACUGGUACAGAGUCAAUGUGGAGGCUAUAUACAGGGGGUACCGGUUCAGAGUCAAUGUGGAGGCUAUAUACAGGGGGUACCGGUACAGAGUCAAUGUGGGGGCUAUAUACAGGAGGUACCGGUUCAGAGUCAAUGUGGAGGCUAUAUACAGGGGGUACCGGUUCAGAGUCAAUGUGGAGGCUAUAUACAGGGGGUACAAGGUACAGAGUCAAUGUGGAGGCUAUAUACAGGGGGUACCGGUACAGAGUCAAUGUGGAGGCUAUAUACAGGGGGUACCGGUUCAGAGUCAAUGUGGAGGCUAUAUACAGGGGGUACCGGUUCAGAGUCAAUGUGGGGGCUAUAUACAGGGGGUACUGGUACAGAGUCAAUGUGGGGGCUAUAUACAGGGGGUACCGGUACAGAGUCAAUGUGGGGGCUAUAUACAGGGGGUACUGGUACAGAGUCAAUGUGGAGGCUAUAUACAGGGGGUACUGGUUCAGAGUCAAUGUGGAGGCUAUAUACAGGGGGUACCGGUUCAGAGUCAAUGUGGAGGCUAUAUACAGGGGGUACCGGUACAGAGUCAAUGUGGAGGCUAUAUACAGGGGGUACCGGUACAGAGUCAAUGUGGAGGCUUUAUACAGGGGGUACUGGUACAGAGUCAAUGUGGAGGCUAUAUACAGGGGGUACCGGUACAGAGUCAAUGUGGGGGCUAUAUACAGGGGGUACCGGUUCAGAGUCAAUGUGGAGGCUAUAUACAGGGGGUACUGGUUCAGAGUCAAUGUGGAGGCUAUAUACAGGGGGUACCGGUUCAGAGUCAAUGUGGAGGCUAUAUACAGGGGGUACCGGUACAGAGUCAAUGUGGAGGCUAUAUACAGGGGGUACCGGUACAGAGUCAAUGUGGAGGCUUUAUACAGGGGGUACUGGUACAGAGUCAAUGUGGAGGCUAUAUACAGGGGGUACCGGUUCAGAGUCAAUGUGGGGGCUAUAUACAGGGGGUACUGGUUCAGAGUCAAUGUGGAGGCUAUAUACAGGGGGUACUGGUUCAGAGUCAAUGUGGAGGCUAUAUACAGGGGGUACCGGUUCAGAGUCAAUGUGGAGGCUAUAUACAGGGGGUACCGGUACAGAGUCAAUGUGGAGGCUAUAUACAGGGGGUACCGGUACAGAGUCAAUGUGGAGGCUUUAUACAGGGGGUACUGGUACAGAGUCAAUGUGGAGGCUAUAUACAGGGGGUACUGGUUCAGAGUCAAUGUGGAGGCUAUAUACAGGGGGUACCGGUACAGAGUCAAUGUGGAGGCUAUAUACAGGGGGUACUGGUACAGAGUCAAUGUGGGGGCUAUAUACAGGGGGUACUGGUACAGAGUCAAUGUGGAGGCUAUAUACAGGGGGUACCGGUACAGAGUCAAUGUGGGGGCUAUAUACAGGGGGUACUGGUACAGAGUCAAUGUGGAGGCUAUAUACAGGGGGUACUGGUUCAGAGUCAAUGUGGAGGCUAUAUACAGGGGGUACUGGUACAGAGUCAAUGUGCAGGCUAUAUACAGGGGGUACUGGUACAGAGUCAAUGUGGAGGCUAUAUACAGGGGGUACUGGUACAGAGUCAAUGUGGGGGCUAUAUACAGGGGGUACAAGGUACAGAGUCAAUGUGGAGGCUAUAUACAGGGGGUACCGGUACAGAGUCAAUGUGGAGGCUAUAUACAGGGGGUACCGGUUCAGAGUCAAUGUGGGGGCUAUAUACAGGGGGUACUGGUACAGAGUCAAUGUGGGGGCUAUAUACAGGGGGUACCGGUACAGAGUCAAUGUGGGGGCUAUAUACAGGGGGUACUGGUACAGAGUCAAUGUGGAGGCUAUAUACAGGGGGUACCGGUUCAGAGUCAAUGUGGAGGCUAUAUACAGGGGGUACCGGUACAGAGUCAAUGUGGAGGCUAUAUACAGGGGGUACCGGUACAGAGUCAAUGUGGAGGCUUUAUACAGGGGGUACUGGUACAGAGUCAAUGUGGAGGCUAUAUACAGGGGGUACCGGUUCAGAGUCAAUGUGGGGGCUAUAUACAGGGGGUACUGGUUCAGAGUCAAUGUGGAGGCUAUAUACAGGGGGUACUGGUUCAGAGUCAAUGUGGAGGCUAUAUACAGGGGGUACCGGUUCAGAGUCAAUGUGGAGGCUAUAUACAGGGGGUACCGGUACAGACUCAAUGUGGAGGCUAUAUACAGGGGGUACCGGUACAGAGUCAAUGUGGAGGCUUUAUACAGGGGGUACUGGUACAGAGUCAAUGUGGAGGCUAUAUACAGGGGGUACUGGUUCAGAGUCAAUGUGGAGGCUAUAUACAGGGGGUACCGGUACAGAGUCAAUGUGGAGGCUAUAUACAGGGGGUACUGGUACAGAGUCAAUGUGGGGGCUAUAUACAGGGGGUACUGGUACAGAGUCAAUGUGGAGGCUAUAUACAGGGGGUACCGGUACAGAGUCAAUGUGGGGGCUAUAUACAGGGGGUACUGGUACAGAGUCAAUGUGGAGGCUAUAUACAGGGGGUACUGGUUCAGAGUCAAUGUGGAGGCUAUAUACAGGGGGUACUGGUACAGAGUCAAUGUGCAGGCUAUAUACAGGGGGUACUGGUACAGAGUCAAUGUGGAGGCUAUAUACAGGGGGUACUGGUACAGAGUCAAUGUGGGGGCUAUAUACAGGGGGUACAAGGUACAGAGUCAAUGUGGAGGCUAUAUACAGGGGGUACCGGUACAGAGUCAAUGUGGAGGCUAUAUACAGGGGGUACCGGUUCAGAGUCAAUGUGGGGGCUAUAUACAGGGGGUACUGGUACAGAGUCAAUGUGGGGGCUAUAUACAGGGGGUACCGGUACAGAGUCAAUGUGGGGGCUAUAUACAGGGGGUACUGGUACAGAGUCAAUGUGGAGGCUAUAUACAGGGGGUACCGGUUCAGAGUCAAUGUGGAGGCUAUAUACAGGGGGUACCGGUACAGAGUCAAUGUGGGGGCUAUAUACAGGAGGUACCGGUUCAGAGUCAAUGUGGAGGCUAUAUACAGGGGGUACCGGUUCAGAGUCAAUGUGGAGGCUAUAUACAGGGGGUACAAGGUACAGAGUCAAUGUGGAGGCUAUAUACAGGGGGUACCGGUACAGAGUCAAUGUGGAGGCUAUAUACAGGGGGUACCGGUUCAGAGUCAAUGUGGAGGCUAUAUACAGGGGGUACCGGUUCAGAGUCAAUGUGGGGGCUAUAUACAGGGGGUA
Molecule: long non-coding RNA, 6078 nt
Filed under: Oncorhynchus mykiss (rainbow trout)
Lineage: Eukaryota; Metazoa; Chordata; Actinopteri; Salmoniformes; Salmonidae
Description: lncRNA (ENSOMYG00000048454.1)
Source: RNAcentral